AUCGCUUCUUGGCCUUUUGGUUAAGAUCAGGUGUAGUAUAUUUCCUUAUC
This 50-nucleotide small nuclear RNA is filed under the name Cervus elaphus hippelaphus. Lineage: Eukaryota; Metazoa; Chordata; Mammalia; Artiodactyla; Cervidae. The record is from RNAcentral.